Molecule: ribosomal RNA, 205 nt
Filed under: uncultured bacterium
Lineage: Bacteria
Description: partial 16S ribosomal RNA
Rfam family: Bacterial small subunit ribosomal RNA
Source: RNAcentral
GAUAACGCUGGCGGCGUGCCUAACACAUGCAAGUCGAACGUCCUCUCUCGCAAGAGAGAGGGAGUGGCGGACGGGUGAGUAACACAUGGGUCACCUACCUAGUGAGGAAUACGGCGAGAAUCGCCGACAAGACCGCAUAGGCUCUCUCUUUUGUCAAGAGAGAGCAAAGCUUCGCAAGAGGCGCUUGAGGAUGGGCCUGUGGCCG